CCUACGGGAGGCAGCAGUGAGGAAUAUUGGUCAAUGGGCGAGAGCCUGAACCAGCCAAGUCGCGUGAGGGAGUACUGCCCUAUGGGUUGUAAACCUCUUUUGUCGGGGAGCAAAAGCCGGACGUGUCCGGCUGUGAGAGUACCCGAAUAAAAAGCAUCGGCUAACUCCGUGCCAGCAGCCGCGGUAAUACGGAGGAUGCGAGCGUUAUCCGGAUUUAUUGGGUUUAAAGGGUGCGCAGGCGGAUUUUUAAGUCAGCGGUAAAAUCGUGGGGCUCAACCCCAUCCAGCCGUUGAAACUGGGGAUCUAGAGUGUGCGAGAGGUAUGCGGAAUGCGUGGUGUAGCGGUGAAAUGCAUAGAUAUCACGCAGAACCCCGAUUGCGAAGGCAGCAUACCGGUGCACAACUGACGCUCAGGCACGAAAGCGUGGGUAUCGAACAGGAUUAGAUACCCGGGUAGUC
Molecule: ribosomal RNA, 458 nt
Filed under: uncultured bacterium
Lineage: Bacteria
Description: partial 16S ribosomal RNA
Rfam family: Bacterial small subunit ribosomal RNA
Source: RNAcentral